RNAcentral lists this ribosomal RNA (741 nucleotides) under Aspicilia diploschistiformis. RNAcentral's name for it is "partial large subunit ribosomal RNA". It matches the Rfam family "Eukaryotic large subunit ribosomal RNA", at positions 284 to 1008 of the family's 3401-position model. The record is from RNAcentral. Lineage: Eukaryota; Fungi; Ascomycota; Lecanoromycetes; Pertusariales; Megasporaceae.
AGCUCAAAAUGGGUGGUAAAUUUCAUCUAAAGCUAAAUACUGGCCAGAGACCGAUAGCGCACAAGUAGAGUGAUCGAAAGAUGAAAAGCACUUUGGAAAGAGAGUUAAAAAGUACGUGAAAUUGUUGAAAGGGAAGCGCUUGCAAUCAGACUUGCUCGCGGGUGAUCAGCCCCCCUUCGCGGGGGGUGCACUCGCCCGCGAUCAGGCCAGCAUCGGUUUCGACGGGCGGAUAAAGGCCCCAGGAAUGUAGCUCCCCUCGGGGAGUGUUAUAGCCUGGGGUGCCAUGCGCCCAGUCGGGACCGAGGACCGCGCUUCGGCUAGGAUGCUGGCGUAAUGGUUGUAAGCGACCCGUCUUGAAACACGGACCAAGGAGUCUAACAUCUAUGCGAGUGUUUGGGUGGUAAACCCAUGCGCGGAAUGAAAGUGAACGGAGGUGGGAGCCCUUUUCGGGGGGCGCACCAUCGACCGAUCCAGAUGUCUUCGGAUGGAUUUGAGUAGGAGCAUAGCUGUUGGGACCCGAAAGAUGGUGAACUAUGCCUGGAUAGGGUGAAGCCAGAGGAAACUCUGGUGGAGGCUCGCAGCGGUUCUGACGUGCAAAUCGAUCGUCAAAUCUGGGUAUAGGGGCGAAAGACUAAUCGAACCAUCUAGUAAAAUCACUACUAGAGAUACUACACGAAAAGGGGCUGAUAAAAAGGCCUCUGUAGUCCCCCGUUGCUGGGGGGCAACAUCGCCGGUCUCCGG